UCCUCCCUUCCCCCGCGUACCCGAGUUCUUUCCCCGACGGCGAUUUCCUUUGCUCAUCUUCUUCGUGCCCUAACCUCCUCGCGCCGACGCCCUUCCUUCUUCUCCUCUCACGCGGCGAUUGCUGCCUCCUUGCGAUUUUAAGCCGUCGACUGAGAGAAAGCCCGAGCCUAUUUCUUAUGCCCUAACCGUCUUCUUUUCUCCUCUUGUGUGCCGACGCCGCCUCCCUUCUUCUUCCCUGCCCAAGCACUGGUGACGCGCGAGCACCGCCGGCUGAGCCCCUUCCUUCGAUCGCCGAGCAGAGCCCUUCUCUCUGCUCUAGUGUCGUCCUCCUUCCUUUCGUCUCUGCCCGACGACGCCACACAAGCCCUCACGGUGAAUUUGCCCUAGUCGACGCCACUGGAUCGAUCCAAGGUCCAUCGAUCGUCGACGUGAAGGUGCCUUAGGGCUUUGAGGGUUAUAGAUUUGGAGAGGUUGGGAUCAUUGAGAUGUGCUUGGGCUGGCGGGCAGAAACUAGAGGAGUUGUGCUUGAUCAGUGGACCUCCUCUUCCUUGCUGCUGACUGAGGUCUCGGUUGGAGCUCCUUGAUUAGGGCAGUGCGGUGAAGAGAGGUUCUAUUCUGUACUGUGGGGUAAUCUUGUUCUAGUAGCAACCCUUCCAAUAGCAACAUCCACUUAGUUCCAGCAUCUCGUUCGGCUGUGAAUUGAGGUACCAGGUUGUUUACGGAGUCGCUUGGAGCAUCCUGUCUGCCGGUUCCCACGUCACAUCUGAAGACUUACUGGUUUCAUUUAUGUUUUUAUUUAUUUUGUGUAUUAAGUGUACUUAGCAUUGUAUAUUCUGGUUUUGGCGCUGGAGUGUUGUUAUGGAGUGUUUUGUGUUGCUUGAUGGUUGUGUAAGCCUAACCGGCUAGCAGUCUUGUAUUUUUUGUUUGUAUUUGGUUUUCUAUCAUUUUCCAUUGUGUUUUGGUUUUAGUACAGUCGA
This is a long non-coding RNA of Zingiber officinale, 977 nucleotides long. RefSeq lists it as uncharacterized. NCBI's taxonomy places the organism in Eukaryota, Viridiplantae, Streptophyta, Magnoliopsida, Zingiberales, Zingiberaceae. The record is from RefSeq and is a predicted model, not a curated record. The transcript is spliced from 4 exons.